UAGGGAAUCUUCCACAAUGGGCGAAAGCCUGAUGGAGCAACGCCGCGUGUGUGAUGAAGGGUUUCGGCUCGUAAAACACUGUUGUAAGAGAAGAACAUAUCUGAGAGUAACUGUUCAGGUAUUGACGGUAUUUAACCAGAAAGCCACGGCUAAAUACGUGCCAG
RNAcentral lists this ribosomal RNA (164 nucleotides) under uncultured bacterium. Its description in RNAcentral is "partial 16S ribosomal RNA". It matches the Rfam family "Bacterial small subunit ribosomal RNA", at positions 355 to 511 of the family's 1533-position model. The record is from RNAcentral.